This 67-nucleotide transfer RNA is filed under the name Brachycybe lecontii. Its description in RNAcentral is "tRNA-Gly". The record is from RNAcentral. Lineage: Eukaryota; Metazoa; Arthropoda; Diplopoda; Playtdesmida; Andrognathidae.
AUUUAAUAAGUAUACUUUGUACAAUUAACUUCCAAUUAAUAAGAUUAAGAAUAUCUUAAAUUAAAUA